Molecule: ribosomal RNA, 253 nt
Filed under: uncultured bacterium
Lineage: Bacteria
Description: partial 16S ribosomal RNA
Rfam family: Bacterial small subunit ribosomal RNA
Source: RNAcentral
UACGAAGGGUGCAAGCGUUACUCGGAAUUACUGGGCGUAAAGCGUGCGUAGGCGGUUUGUUAAGUCUGUCGUGAAAGCCCCGGGCUCAACCUGGGAAUGGCGAUGGAUACGGGCAGACUAGAGUUCGGUAGGGGAGACUGGAAUUCCUGGUGUAGCGGUGAAAUGCGCAGGUAUCAGGAGGAACACCGGUGGCGAAGGCGGGUCUCUGGGCCGAAACUGACGCUGAGGAGCGAAAGCGUGGGGAGCAAACAGG